GAGCUGUGGCAUCGUAGUUUUAGAAACUUAGAACAGAGAAUACAUCUAGAAUGUGAUGGCCAUCGAAUACCAUUACCUUCACUACAGGGCAUUGUGGUUUUGAACAUUCUCAGGUAGUUAUGGUGGAGGGUCAAACUUCUGGGGAGGAACAAAAGAUGAUGAUAUGUUCUGUUCUCCUGCCUUUGAUGAUAAAAUACUG
Long non-coding RNA from Limulus polyphemus (Atlantic horseshoe crab), 199 nucleotides. RefSeq lists it as uncharacterized. The record is from RefSeq and is a predicted model, not a curated record. The transcript is spliced from 3 exons. NCBI's taxonomy places the organism in Eukaryota, Metazoa, Arthropoda, Merostomata, Xiphosura, Limulidae.